AUCUCUUCCUCUCCUCUCCAAGCAGACCCGCCACCCCCUCUCUCUUCUCUCUUACCUGCUCCGGCGAAGCUCGCUCCGGCCAGCAGCUGGCGAGUGCCAGAUGACACCAGCUCCAACAGCAGCAGCGCCAGCCGCUUCGGCCAGUACAAACAACAGCCAGUAGCCGCGAAAGCAACUGGGCAGCAACCAUCGCUGCUCCACGCCACCAGUCACCCACGUCUCCGACAAAAAAACGGCAACCACUUUGACAUAUUUUGGUUUUGUUUAAGACGGAUCUUAAUAGAUUCGUCCCAGGGUUUUGAACUUAAAAGGUUCAAGAGUCGCCUCAAAGAGAUUUUCGGACAAGAUUCUUAUGUUCAAGUUUAUCUUAAUGCUGGAAAUACUGUUUAUUUAUUCUUUGAACUUGUAAUAUUUUGUAUAACUCUAACUCUCUCUAUAUAUGAUAACUUGGGGAAUCGUCCAAGGGGGAGGGGGAUAUACGUGCUAAUUGUUCCUUUUCCUUUUAGCGUAGUUUAUUUUUUGGUAUGUGCGGCAUGUCGGAAUCACUUAGCAAUCGACCUAAUUUCAACCCUUCGCUCAUGCAACUUUGCCUUAUUGUUAAAAUCAACCAUUAUGUAUUAAUUGUCUUAUAAUUUGAAUAUUUGCUUUAUUUGGAUUAGACUUUAUUCACCUCAGCAUGUUAAUAAAAUGGGCCCAUAAGAAUUUACCAAAAUGUGCCUAACAAAUUUAGUAUGUCAAUAGUUAGCAAAUUAAUCUUGAUCAACUGCCAGCAUGUUUAGAAAAUUAAAUCUGCAAUCUGUCUAGAAAGUAAUCUUAAUUCAAUAGGUCAAUUAAUUAGAUUGUAAUGGCUGAUUGGUUGUUAAUAAAUUCAGAUUACUUAGAAAUGCAUGCCUAUAGGAUUUAAAUGUUUAUUAAUGUGUUAUUCAUGUAUAGAAACCAUGUCUAUAAGUUGUGUUCUUUAUUUAGAAAUCAUGUGCAUAGGCAUUCAGAUAUUUUAUUUGGUAUGUGAAUUAAUGAGUUUACCAAUUAGUUGUAAUGGUUGCUUUAUGUGAAUAAAUCCAAACCAUCUAGAAAUCAUGCCUAUAGGAUUAAAACAAUAAAAUCAUUGAUGUUAACUAAUUAGUUUAAAUAAUUUCUGCAUAUUUUAGUAAUUUAAGCCUGUCAGCUAAUAAAAAUAUUUUAGGUUGUUAAUAAAAUUUCAGCAUGUUAAUCACUUAGUUAGCUUUUCAUAGGCUUCUAAUAAAUUUUUAGUAUUUUUUUUUUGUCUUUUAUGAAUAAUCUCUACUUAAAAUAAGUAAUUUCUAUCUAAAAUAAAUUAAUGUCUUCUUCUGCAUGUUAACUGUGACAUUAAAUUUAUCUGUCAUUUAAAGUUGUCCAAAAUAAUCAAUUUGUUGCAUCGUAAUGAACUGGUUUGUCACUUAAAAAAUAAAUUAAUUUUACAGCAUGUUAAAAUCCUAAUUGCUUAAAAUUUAGUCUGCCCUAAUUGAUCUUUUUUUUCUCGUUUAGUUAUUUAUGCAUCUAAUGAAUUGACUGUUGCUUAAUAAUCUGAUCUUCACUGCUCUAAAAGACAUUUCCUGCCUCCAUGAUUGCUUUCUGCCACUUGUAUAAUUGCUUCCUGUAUCUAAUGUUCCAAAAAUAAUUAUUGCUAUAAUAUGUUGUAUGCCACACGCCUAGCAUGAGACUUUUUCACAAUUAUAUGUGUUUGCAAGCAUGCUAAUAAAAUCUAGAGGCUAAUAUGAGACUCUAUGUGCUAAAUGCUAGUCCAAAUUAUUUGGCUUGGUGUCUAGGUGGGCCUAUUAGGAGU
Molecule: long non-coding RNA, 1804 nt
Organism: Solanum tuberosum (potato)
Lineage: Eukaryota; Viridiplantae; Streptophyta; Magnoliopsida; Solanales; Solanaceae
Exons: 2
Source: RefSeq, a predicted model, not a curated record